GGUCAGUGAUGAUUGGUAAAAGGUCUGAUUGCACUUAAUGUCACAGCCCCUUCCUUGCCCUCAGCUCCCAGCAGCCCAUUGUUUUCUCCCGUCACAUUUAAGUCAUGUGUAUGGGAUAAUGGAGCAGCUGACAGUUUGGGAUGAUUCUGUCAGCGUGUGUUUCUGAGAGUAUACAGUUCACAGCUGACAAAUAUCCAACAGAACCAGCUGUGCAGGAGAUCGAAGAGCGGCAGCCAUGGGUGUGAUGGUGCAUGAUCUCAAGUUUUCAAUCUGAGACC
Molecule: non-coding RNA, 278 nt
Organism: Ursus americanus (American black bear)
Lineage: Eukaryota; Metazoa; Chordata; Mammalia; Carnivora; Ursidae
Source: Ensembl